GGAUUAGAUACCCUGGUAGUCCACGCUGUAAACGAUGAGAACUAGCCGUUGGGACCCAUGAGGUUUUAGUGGCGCAGCAAACGCGAUAAGUUCUCCGCCUGGGGAGUACGGCCGCAAGGCUAAAACUCAAAUGAAUUGACGGGGGCCCGCACAAGCGGUGGAGCAUGUGGUUUAAUUCGAAGCAACGCGAAGAACCUUACCUACUCUUGACAUCCUGAGAAUCUGCUAGAGAUAGCGGAGUGCCUUCGGGAAUUCAGUGACAGGUGCUGCAUGGCUGUCGUCAGCUCGUGCCG
Molecule: ribosomal RNA, 293 nt
Filed under: uncultured bacterium
Lineage: Bacteria
Description: partial 16S ribosomal RNA
Rfam family: Bacterial small subunit ribosomal RNA
Source: RNAcentral